Molecule: ribosomal RNA, 497 nt
Filed under: uncultured bacterium
Lineage: Bacteria
Description: partial 16S ribosomal RNA
Rfam family: Bacterial small subunit ribosomal RNA
Source: RNAcentral
GAUGAACGCUGGCGGCGUGCCUAAUACAUGCAAGUCGAGCGAACAGACGAGGAGCUUGCUCCUCUGACGUUAGCGGCGGACGGGUGAGUAGCACGUGGAUAACCUACCUAUAAGACUGGGAUAACUUCGGGAAACCGGAGCUAAUACCGGAUAAUAUAUUGAACCGCAUGGUUCAAUAGUGAAAGACGGUUUUGCUGUCACUUAUAGAUGGAUCCGCGCCGCAUUAGCUAGUUGGUAAGGUAACGGCUUACCAAGGCAACGAUGCGUAGCCGACCUGAGAGGGUGAUCGGCCACACUGGAACUGAGACACGGUCCAGACUCCUACGGGAGGCAGCAGUAGGGAAUCUUCCGCAAUGGGCGAAAGCCUGACGGAGCAACGCCGCGUGAGUGAUGAAGGUCUUCGGAUCGUAAAACUCUGUUAUUAGGGAAGAACAAAUGUGUAAGUAAAUAUGCACGUCUUGACGGUACCUAAUCAGAAAGCCACGGCUAACUACGUG